RNAcentral lists this transfer RNA (62 nucleotides) under Ictidomys tridecemlineatus (thirteen-lined ground squirrel). RNAcentral describes it as "Spermophilus tridecemlineatus (thirteen-lined ground squirrel) tRNA". It matches the Rfam family "tRNA". From Rfam's summary of the family: Transfer RNA (tRNA) molecules are approximately 80 nucleotides in length. Their secondary structure includes four short double-helical elements and three loops (D, anti-codon, and T loops). The record is from Rfam by way of RNAcentral. Lineage: Eukaryota; Metazoa; Chordata; Mammalia; Rodentia; Sciuridae.
GGUGAUUUAGCUCAGUUGAUAGAGUACUUGCCUGGCAUGCAAGACCAUUAGUUCAAUCCCCA